UACAGAGGGUGCAAGCGUUGUUCGGAUUCACUGGGCGUAAAGGGCGCGUAGGCGGCUUUGUAAGUCGGGGGUGAAAGCCUGUGGCUCAACCACAGAAUUGCCUUCGAUACUGCAUGGCUUGAGACCGGAAGAGGUUAGUGGAACUGCGAGUGUAGAGGUGAAAUUCGUAGAUAUUCGCAAGAACACCAGUGGCGAAGGCGGCUGACUGGUCCGGUUCUGACGCUGAGGCGCGAAAGCGUGGGGAGCAAACAGG
This 253-nucleotide ribosomal RNA is filed under the name uncultured bacterium. RNAcentral describes it as "partial 16S ribosomal RNA". It matches the Rfam family "Bacterial small subunit ribosomal RNA", at positions 524 to 776 of the family's 1533-position model. The record is from RNAcentral.